UAUCUGUGACUGCACCCGUCAGGGGGAGACUGUAAAUGCCAAAUACUUUAUUCUAGACAGGCUGUCAGCUUCAAAGAGAGUUCUGUGAAGGGCCUGGAACCUUCUCUCCACCAUUAGAUGUCAACCCUGACCAAGGUUAUAUUGGCCUGAAAUGCUGUUUAGAAAAUGAACCUUAUCAAAAAAAAAAUGAGAGAAUUUGAGGAGGCCUUGUAGAGAAACUGAAGGAUUCAAGCACAGGACAUCGGGAAAACUGCAGACUUCUGGGAUAGUCACACAGUCUUCCUCAAACUUUGGAACUAAGUUUGUAUGUGCACUGAGAAAGUAGCCCACUCCACACUGACUUAAACACACAGAGAGGAAGCUAACAUUUGCUCAGCAAUUCUCUUCUUAGAGAAUCUCCCGGCUGGUGGUAAGACUUGGAAGUCCUUGACUUGUGGAUUCCAACUUCAGCCCGCGUCGUCAUGCAACCUUCUUCUUUUCAUAUCCUUGCUUUACUUGCACAAGGACGCCAGCUGAGUCAGAUCAAGGUCCCAUCUACUGUAGACUGAUGUAUGCUUAAAUUCAACUUUUCCCCAUUUCCAGUGAAGGUAAACACUAGGAAGUAUAGGGUUAGGACUUCAACACUUGUAUCCAUGCUUCGGGUGACAUGACUCAACUUAUAAAUUGAAGGAACUGUACUUAUGAAUACCUUCGGUACAACUUCCUUAAAAACACUGACAGAGUUUCCGGCAGAACAGUGCUCUGAACCUAGAUUGAACUAUACAGUCCCCAGAGAGAUAGAGUCUCCCAGGACUCCAACAUGAGAUUUGAUAAGAACAACCUAUGAUCCUAGAAGUUUUGUGCUCCACUCUUCCAGCCACUCACCACCCUGAGCUGUCUGCAGUCGCGGGUUUCUGUUCAGGGUGACGAAAUGUUUAGAGAUUCUUCCCUCAAGAUGAUGACGUAGAAUCGAGAAGAAUGAACAGCAUUUUCUCAGGUGCCUUUGCUCAGAUCAUCAAAUUCUCAUAUCCAUCACAUGGUUGCCGCUCACAGUCAUAAUCGCAGCUUUUAUUCAAAAACCUCCACACGGAGCAUCUAAAUAGGACUUAAUCGUGAAACCCACAAGGCAUUGAAGAGUUGGCACCAUGCCACCUAAAUCCACAGGCCAGGGACUGCCAUAGAUGACAAGGCAUCACAGGACAUCCCAAUGGGCUGGUGUGAACGUGAAAUCCGAUUCUGUUGGGAGAUUUCUGAGACACUCUCCAAACCGGGUGGAGGCACUCUGAUUUAAAACCCUUCCAAUCUUGGAGCCUGAACUGCAGCAAAGGUCAAGAGUUGGGAUAUGGGAAUCUCUCCUUUGCCUUUUGGAGCCUGAGCUAAUCAGAGUUCUAAAACGGAAAAAAAAAGAAACAGACUGGCCCCUAGCAACAGCACCCCAUUUUCCCCAAAGAAGACAGAAGACAAAUGGGCACAAAACAACACCCAUCCUCAAUUUGCUUCAUCAAGUGAAAGCGUUAACCACUGUGUUAAACUGACUUUUAUCUAAACUGAAGAUCUCCAGACAGUGGACGAAGGAAAAGAGGAAUCAACGGCAGCCUAGCUGUGUAGGGCAAGAAUCAAUAAUCAACCCAUCAGAUGUCCUUGUUCAAGUCCCAGCAGCAGUGAUAUGUCUCCUAUGAGAUGCCACAAUACUGUACAACCCCUGGAGGAGCUAAGGUGUGUGUGUGUCCCCAUGUGCGACUGCAAACAUCAUCGCGAGAUCAUACGUCAAGCACCAUGUCGUACUGUUGUCCCUUCUUCCUCCUGCCACACUUAUUGAUGAGAACCACAUACAGAGUCAAAAGCAUGACCCAGUAGCAGGCGUAGAUCAAGGUUCCCACAAUGAGAACAGUCUGUUUGGAUUCGGAAAAUGGCUUUUUCGAUUCCUUGUAAAUGGUGAAAAUCACACCACCGAGAAGAAUUGUAAACCACACGGACACUGGAAUAAGUCCGAUAAAAUUGACAACAAUGGUUUUCCUUCCAGAUGUGCCCCACCCUGCUUUGUUUAUGGUUGCAAUUGCGAACAUCUUGGCCGGAAGUAGACUUGACAUGUAUAACACUGAAUAGAGAGACAUGAAGACCAUGACAAUGUUCCCUCUAAGGCAGCUGGCAAAAGAUGACUUUAUGAGACCCACUAGCUGGACAGUUAACAGGAAGAGGAGGAUGUUCCAGAUUUUACCCCUGUAGAAGAGCUGGAUGACUGUGGCAAUGAGAAAGAAAGGAAAGAAUCCAGUGAUAACGGCUUCGUAGGUCAUCCACAAGUGAUGCUUGUGAAACCACAUGGCGUUGUACAGCCACUCUCGGAAAUAGGACUUGCUCCAACGGGUCUGCUGGUUCAGCCAUCUGAGAUACUCUAUAGGUGUUUCCGUAAGGCACUUGGACCGAGCUGUGUAUUUUGUUGCAUAGCCCAGACUCAGCACCCGGUUGGUAAGAUGCCUAUCAUCACCAAAACUGCAUUGGUUGCCCAUGAAUUCCUGAUUGUACCAGUCUUCUACAAACUCAUGCAGCAGGGAGUUUCUGUACAUUCCCAGAGGACCGCUUAUGCACUGGACACACCCAAAAUAAGACUGGCAGGCCCUUUCUAUAUUAAAAGCCAUCCAGUAUCUCACACUGCUGAGGAAGGAGAUCCAGGAAUCAUACUUGUUUAAAAUCUGCAAGUUAAAAAAAUAAAUAAAAGUUAGCUUUAGCUUAAUAAUACCAAGAAACCCCAAUGUAUACUGAGAUCACUGCUUGGCAUGAAAUCUGUUCCUCUGUGAUUCUCUUUUGGCUUCCUUCUUCUUUCUGAUAUUCUUUUAUCUUGUAUUCUUGGGUUUUGUGUAAUGAAAUAAGCUUGAUUGGUUGGGUGUACAUGUAUGCAUAUUAAUGCACUUAGUUAUAACUUUAAGCAUCAAUAAUCAAUCCUUAAAUGUUCCCAGAUGUGUUUUUGUAAAUUACCAUCUAAGAUUGCAAGAGUUAAGGUCCUAGGUGUGUUGUGUUGGGUAUUCAGCUCAUGUGUGUUCGUGGAAGAAACAGGUUUACACUAGGAUUCUUCUGAUCUGGUUAACGUCCCAGUUUUUAAUCCUUAUGCGUUCACUUUCCUUUUCCAUUCAUUAAUUCCAAGGGAUAAAAAUAAUCCCCCAAAUAAUUAAUUCUAUCUGAAUUUUGUAUGCAUCUCUCCUUUUUAAACCACCAGGCUAUUUCUUUGUUUGCCUUAAUAUGAUGUUUCAUUGUCAACUUUAGGAACAAGCAUGCAUACAUGGGUCACAGUACAAAUCUCCAUUUUGAGGUUUAUUUUCUUUGUACUCCUCAUCUGGUGUUAAGAUUGAAUACUAUACUUACAAGGAAUUCUGAUUUUACCCUUACAUAUUUUCACAUACUUGCAUUUCUAUCCAAGAAACUUCAGUAUUGUGUCAUUAAUAAUUGUUUCUCCAUUACUAAUAAAUGUUGGGAAAUAUUAA
Non-coding RNA from Myodes glareolus (Bank vole), 3455 nucleotides. The record is from RefSeq and is a predicted model, not a curated record. NCBI's taxonomy places the organism in Eukaryota, Metazoa, Chordata, Mammalia, Rodentia, Cricetidae.